This 946-nucleotide ribosomal RNA is filed under the name uncultured prokaryote. RNAcentral's name for it is "bacterial SSU rRNA". It matches the Rfam family "Bacterial small subunit ribosomal RNA", at positions 527 to 1466 of the family's 1533-position model. The record is from RNAcentral.
CGUAGUUGCAAGCGUUAUUCCGGAAUUUAUUGGGCGUAAAGCGGCGCGCAGGUGUUUCUUAAGUCUGAUGUGAAGCCCCACGGCUCCACCGGUGGAGGGUCAUUGGAAACUGGGAAGACUUGAGUGCAGAAGAGGAAAAGUGGAUUUCCAUUGUGUAGCGGUGAAUGCGUAAGAGAUAGGAGGAACACCAGGUGGCGAGGCCGACUUUUCUGGUCUGUAACUGACCAUGGGGGCGCGAAAGCGUGGGGAAGCAAACAGGUUAAGUUACCCUUGUUGGUCCACGCGGUAAACGAUGAGUGCUAAUUUAAGAGGGUUUCCCCCUUUUGUGCUGAAAGUUAACGAAUUAACCCUUCCGCCUGGGGAGUCGGGCCGCAAGCUGGAAACUCAAAGAAUUUGACGGGGGCCGGCAAAAGCGGUGAACAAGGUGGUUUAUUUGGAAGCAACGGGAGGACCCUUCCAAGGUCUGGACUUCUUCUGCAAACCUAAAAAUUAGGCUUUUUCUUUCGGGAGCAGAGUGCCAGGUGGUCCAUGGUUGUCUUCACUCGUGGUGGUGAGAUGUUGGGUUAAUUCCCGCACCGAGCGCAACCUUUGUUCUUGGUGCCCAUCAUUAAGUUGGCCAUUCUAAGGUGAUUCCGGGUGCCAACCGGGAGGAAGGUGGGGUGGACGUCAAUUCUUCAUCCCCUUUAUGCCUUGGCCUCCCCAGGUGCUCCAAUGGCCGGUACAAAAAGCUGCAAGACCGGGAGGGGAAGUUAUUUUCAUAAACCCGUUUUCAUUUCGGAUUGUAGGCUGCAAUUCCCUUCCAGGAAGCGGGAAUCGCUGGUAAUCGCGAAUCACCAGGCGGCGGUGAAUAGUUUCCCGGCCUUGGUCCACCCCCCCGGCCCCCCCACGAGAUUUGGUAACACCGGAAGUCGGUGGGUUACCCUUUGAGCCAGCCGCCUACGGUACG